This 893-nucleotide long non-coding RNA is filed under the name Homo sapiens (human). RNAcentral's name for it is "non-protein coding lnc-C11orf86-1:1". The record is from RNAcentral. Lineage: Eukaryota; Metazoa; Chordata; Mammalia; Primates; Hominidae.
GGAAAAAGGAAGCUGAAGGGCACUUGGGCUCAUAAUGGUCUCUCCAACCCUGAUCCUGUCCUUUAUGGACAUUUGGCAGCGCUGCUGCCUUGAGGUGCCUUGCAAUGCUUUAUCUUUUUGUUAAAGCCACCUCUGUUGCUUCAGCCAGCUUGAGCGGUUUUCUGUUACUUGCUAGUGGUUGGGAAGGCUUAGCCGACGAAGGGAAAAUGAGUCAGGUCCUGAAGGAUGAGCAAGUUACGGGAGUGGGCCGCAUGGUGAGGGAGUGGACUUCCUGAUGGGGUUAAGGGCGCCUGAACACCUGGGAGGCAAGUUGAGGCCAAGACCUGGGGUGAUGGAGAGGCAGGGUAGGCUACCCAGUGAGUAGGAGGCCGAAGGAACCACAGCAGGGCUCCAGAUCUCCUGGCCCAGAGGGGCUGGUACGGGAAGCCCAGAAGACACUCAUCCCUAAGGGGAGCCUGAGACUGAGGAACUCUCAUGCCCUGCGUCGGGCUCGUGGGCGAAGGGCCUUCCCAGGGACUGCACCAUGGCCUGUCCCCAGCCUUACCCAGGGGCCUCCCUCUCAGGUUCUGAAGGACCCAGGGGUCACAGCUGUGUGGGGUGCUCCACUGAACACUUCCUUCAAACUCCUUCAGGCUGGAGUGCAGUGGCGCGAUCUCAGCUCCAUGGGAGAGAGUUUGAAAGGAUGAAGAGUUUACAUCCUCUGGAAAGAAGCAAAUAGAAGGCAUUCCAGGCAAAAGGAACUGCAUCGAGUAAAAGCAUGGAGGCAAGAAAGGGCUUGGUGUGUUUGAGAAACAGUGAGUAGGGCAUGGUGGUGGCAGAAGCUUAAAGUGUAUGGCCCGUGGACAGUGACAGCCGGACAAGAAGCUGAAGUGACAGAACAAGUUGAACCAAAG